UGAGAUGGUAAGGAAGGCUCGCGCGAGGCCGGAGGUCGUGGUUCGAAUCCCACGAACCACAUACACAUGUAUUAUGCGUGAAAAUAGCAUGACUUGUGACUUGCGAUGCUACCCUUUUAAAAAGGGGUCCUAAAAUGGUUGUUCCUCCAGCAGUGAUAUCAUAUCUAUUUGACAUGGACCUGUUUGAAAAAAAAUGUGACAUAAGUCAAGUAAAUGGGUUGCACGGAGAAAUGUGUCAU
RNAcentral lists this long non-coding RNA (239 nucleotides) under Setaria viridis. RNAcentral's name for it is "long non-coding RNA (SVIR_LNC005457)". The record is from RNAcentral. Lineage: Eukaryota; Viridiplantae; Streptophyta; Magnoliopsida; Poales; Poaceae.